Long non-coding RNA from Rhincodon typus (whale shark), 1867 nucleotides. RefSeq lists it as uncharacterized. The record is from RefSeq and is a predicted model, not a curated record. Lineage: Eukaryota; Metazoa; Chordata; Chondrichthyes; Orectolobiformes; Rhincodontidae. The transcript is spliced from 3 exons.
CUUAACCAAAGUGAAUCGUGCGGGUGGGGUGGUUUGGAGCUGGAGGACUCAAGGGUGUGAACACAGCGGUCCGAAAGGGAAGCCGUGAACUCGGAUUCAAUGCCUGCUUUCCUUCCUCGGAUGUCUUGAACUUCUGGUGACAGGUCUUGUUGGUGAGUGAGGAUUGUCCUGGAAACUCACAGCAAGCAGAGUGAGGGAGCAGAAGGUUCUGUCACUGAUUGCAAAGUUUGAGGUAUGGAAUCUGAGUUGACUGGGCAGGCAGGAGAGAGAGUGUGUGACAUGGAAAGUUGCCGCUUUGGGGAAACAGGAAGGGAAAGAAAUGAACUGGAAGUGUCUGUUCUAAAUUUUUAGUCUGGACUGACAGUGAUGUCUUUUAUAUACUCCUUUUGCAACGGAUCGGGGAAGACAUCUAAAUGAUCUGACAGGAUUUCUCAAUUUAUCAGGACCAGCAUAUCAUUGGUCUUUAAUGUGGAGAGAAAAAUGACUGGAAAAGCACUGAGACUUAGACAAUGAGAGUGAGUGUCAAGUUACACAGCUUUAAAAGUAAAUUCACAACAUUCACAGUGGGUGAACCCAUAUAUGUAUUUUGUGUGUAGACAAGGCUUGAACUAAGUUGUCCAACCUGAAGAAAUACAAAGACACCGGCACCAUGGAGAAACAGUGGAAUUGUGGGGACUGUGGGAAGGGAUUCAAUUACCCUUCCCAGCUGGAGAUUCACCGACACAGUCACACCAGGGAGAGGCUGUUCAUUUGCUCCAUGUUUGGGAAGGGAUUCACAUUUUCGUCAAUGUUACAUAUCCACCAGAGGACUCACACCGGGGAGAAACUCCUCCGUGUAGGGGGAGGGCUUUAAUUUUCUGACCCAGCUGCUGAGGCACCAGCGGGUUCAUAUUGGUGAGAGGCUGUUUAACUGCUCUGAGUGUAAGAAGAGCUUUAAAAGAUGACAGGAUCUGAUCAAACACUAGCUGUUUCACACAGAGAAAUGUUUUAGUUGUUCUCACUGCAGGAGGACAUUUACGGAUCCUCAAAAAAACACCAUCAAGUUGACACUGGGAAGAGGCUGUUCAAUUGCUCCAUGGGUGGGAAGGAAUUUACUCUGGUUAUCUCACUUCAAUUCACACUAGCAUGUUCACACUGAUGACAGAUGUUUCAAAUGUUCAGAAUGUGAGAAGGCCUUUAUAACUACAGGUGCUCUGCUGAGACACCAGCGAAUUCAUACUGAGGAGAGGCCAUUCACCUGCUCUGUCUUUGCCCAAUCUCACUUUACACCAGUGAGUUCACUUUAAUUAGAGACCUUUCCAAUGUUCUGACUGUGAGAAGAGCUUUAAAACUACAAGGGAUCUGCUCAUGCACCAUCAAAUUCACACUGUGGAGAGGCCAUUCACCUGCUCCCUGUGUGGGGAUUCACCCAUUCAUCCCACCUCCUCACACACCAGUACACACAGGGGAGAGGCUAUUUACAUGCUCCCUCUGUGGGAAGCAAUUCACUUAGCAAUCUCACCUUAAUUCACACUGAUAGCAGAUCUUCUCAAUGUUCUGAAUGUGAGAAGACUUUUAAAACCACAGACAGUCUGCUGAGACACCAGUGAAUUCAUACUGGGGAAGAGGGUGUUCAUUUGCUUUGUGGGAAGCGUUUCACUUCGUCAUGCCACUUUUGGAUACACCAGCAUGUUCACAAAUGACUGCAGGGAUGGAUUCUGUUGUUUCUGCUGCUAUUGAUUACAACUAAAUUCAUUCUGACAGCUGGGUUUCAUUUCUGAUGUUGUUAUUAAUCCCAUAACUGAUCUGGAACUUAAUUACUGUAACAGAUCACAAUACAAUAAUGUAAUUUGAAACAGUGUGUCAGGUUCUGUAUUUUGAGAAAUUA